This is a non-coding RNA of Trichobilharzia regenti, 46 nucleotides long. The record is from Rfam. NCBI's taxonomy places the organism in Eukaryota, Metazoa, Platyhelminthes, Trematoda, Strigeidida, Schistosomatidae.
GUACUGCCGAUGAGUCCCAAACUAGGACGAAACAGCUGUCCAGUAC